This 1712-nucleotide ribosomal RNA is filed under the name Escherichia coli. RNAcentral describes it as "partial 23S ribosomal RNA". It matches the Rfam family "Bacterial large subunit ribosomal RNA", at positions 1 to 1756 of the family's 2925-position model. Lineage: Bacteria; Pseudomonadati; Pseudomonadota; Gammaproteobacteria; Enterobacterales; Enterobacteriaceae. The record is from RNAcentral.
GUUAAGCGACUAAGCGUACACGGUGGAUGCCCUGGCAGUCAGAGGCGAUGAAGGACGUGCUAAUCUGCGAUAAGCGUCGGUAAGGUGAUAUGAACCGUUAUAACCGGCGAUUUCCGAAUGGGGAAACCCAGUGUGUUUCGACACACUAUCAUUAACUGAAUCCAUAGGUUAAUGAGGCGAACCGGGGGAACUGAAACAUCUAAGUACCCCGAGGAAAAGAAAUCAACCGAGAUUCCCCCAGUAGCGGCGAGCGAACGGGGAGCAGCCCAGAGCCUGAAUCAGUGUGUGUGUUAGUGGAAGCGUCUGGAAAGGCGCGCGAUACAGGGUGACAGCCCCGUACACAAAAAUGCACAUGCUGUGAGCUCGAUGAGUAGGGCGGGACACGUGGUAUCCUGUCUGAAUAUGGGGGGACCAUCCUCCAAGGCUAAAUACUCCUGACUGACCGAUAGUGAACCAGUACCGUGAGGGAAAGGCGAAAAGAACCCCGGCGAGGGGAGUGAAAAAGAACCUGAAACCGUGUACGUACAAGCAGUGGGAGCCUCUUUUAUGGGGUGACUGCGUACCUUUUGUAUAAUGGGUCAGCGACUUAUAUUCUGUAGCAAGGUUAACCGAAUAGGGGAGCCGAAGGGAAACCGAGUCUUAACUGGGCGUUAAGUUGCAGGGUAUAGACCCGAAACCCGGUGAUCUAGCCAUGGGCAGGUUGAAGGUUGGGUAACACUAACUGGAGGACCGAACCGACUAAUGUUGAAAAAUUAGCGGAUGACUUGUGGCUGGGGGUGAAAGGCCAAUCAAACCGGGAGAUAGCUGGUUCUCCCCGAAAGCUAUUUAGGUAGCGCCUCGUGAAUUCAUCUCCGGGGGUAGAGCACUGUUUCGGCAAGGGGGUCAUCCCGACUUACCAACCCGAUGCAAACUGCGAAUACCGGAGAAUGUUAUCACGGGAGACACACGGCGGGUGCUAACGUCCGUCGUGAAGAGGGAAACAACCCAGACCGCCAGCUAAGGUCCCAAAGUCAUGGUUAAGUGGGAAACGAUGUGGGAAGGCCCAGACAGCCAGGAUGUUGGCUUAGAAGCAGCCAUCAUUUAAAGAAAGCGUAAUAGCUCACUGGUCGAGUCGGCCUGCGCGGAAGAUGUAACGGGGCUAAACCAUGCACCGAAGCUGCGGCAGCGACGCUUAUGCGUUGUUGGGUAGGGGAGCGUUCUGUAAGCCUGUGAAGGUGUGCUGUGAGGCAUGCUGGAGGUAUCAGAAGUGCGAAUGCUGACAUAAGUAACGAUAAAGCGGGUGAAAAGCCCGCUCGCCGGAAGACCAAGGGUUCCUGUCCAACGUUAAUCGGGGCAGGGUGAGUCGACCCCUAAGGCGAGGCCGAAAGGCGUAGUCGAUGGGAAACAGGUUAAUAUUCCUGUACUUGGUGUUACUGCGAAGGGGGGACGGAGAAGGCUAUGUUGGCCGGGCGACGGUUGUCCCGGUUUAAGCGUGUAGGCUGGUUUUCCAGGCAAAUCCGGAAAAUCAAGGCUGAGGCGUGAUGACGAGGCACUACGGUGCUGAAGCAACAAAUGCCCUGCUUCCAGGAAAAGCCUCUAAGCAUCAGGUAACAUCAAAUCGUACCCCAAACCGACACAGGUGGUCAGGUAGAGAAUACCAAGGCGCUUGAGAGAACUCGGGUGAAGGAACUAGGCAAAAUGGUGCCGUAACUUCGGGAGAAGGCACGCUGAUA